Long non-coding RNA from Astyanax mexicanus (Mexican tetra), 285 nucleotides. RefSeq lists it as uncharacterized. The transcript is spliced from 3 exons. NCBI's taxonomy places the organism in Eukaryota, Metazoa, Chordata, Actinopteri, Characiformes, Acestrorhamphidae. The record is from RefSeq and is a predicted model, not a curated record.
CACUGCGCAGUUCCGCUAUAUUCCAUUACUCCUUCUCCUUCUCCACGGGAAUAAUCCAGAUCAUCUGGGAAAGCGAACCCACUCUUAUAAAGAGGAAAACCAUGCUGUGCUGAUUAAUAAUGAGCGGACUUUGCUACCUGUGGGAAAAGCUGGCUGGCUGCUGCAGACCCACAGGAAGUCCAGUCACAAACACAGGAUGACACAGUAACCAGCAGCAAGUGUUGUCAGCAUGGGAAAACCCCCCGCCAAGCCAGCAAUCACCACCAGCCAGUACACUGCCUGUUG